Molecule: ribosomal RNA, 490 nt
Filed under: uncultured bacterium
Lineage: Bacteria
Description: partial 16S ribosomal RNA
Rfam family: Bacterial small subunit ribosomal RNA
Source: RNAcentral
AUUGAACGCUGGCGGCAGGCCUAACACAUGCAAGUCGAACGGUAACAGGAAACAUCUUGCUGUUUCGCUGACGAGUGGCGGACGGGUGAGCAAUGUCUGGGAAACUGUCUGAUGGAGGGGGAUAACUACUGGAAACGGUAGCUAUUACCGCAUAACGUCGCAAGACCAAAGAGGGGGACCUUCGGGCCUCUUGCCAUCGGAUGUGCGCAGAUGGGAUUAGCUAGUAGGUGGGGUAACGGCUCACCUAGGCGCCGAUCUCUAGCUGGUCUGAGAGGGUGACCAGCCACACGGGAACUGAGACACGGUCCAGACUCCUACGGGAGGCAGCAGUGGGGAAUAUUGCACGAUGGGCGCAAGCCUGAUGCAGCCAUGCCGCGUGUAUGAAGAAGGUCUUCGGGUUGUAAAGUACUUUCGGCGGGGAGGAAGGGAAUAAAGUUAAUACCUUUACUCAUUGACGUUACCCGCAGAAGAAGCACCGGCUAACUCCGUG